UCCCAACGGCUAUAAACGGCUAGUUUCUUCAAUCCAACGGUCAGAAAGGACUAUUUGGAGGUUGGAGAAGUAUUUAAGAGGGAGUAUUCAUCAGAGGAAGUAAGCUUUUGGGAAAAUACAUCAAGUGCAUUCAAGAGAGAACCCUAGCAAGGCAAGCUUCAUCCAAGUGCUUCAUUCAAGAGUCAAAAGAAAGGGGUUGAGCAGAUUUAAAGAGUCAUCAAGAGCUCCAUCCUCCCUUGAAGAGUGAAGCAUCCUUGACAAAGAAGAGAGAAGCCACUUCAAAGCGAUAAAUAUUUUCUAAACUCUUCUUUGUAGUUCAUAUUGUUUCAUUUGCUCAUUUAGG
Molecule: long non-coding RNA, 343 nt
Filed under: Phoenix dactylifera (date palm)
Lineage: Eukaryota; Viridiplantae; Streptophyta; Magnoliopsida; Arecales; Arecaceae
Description: long non-coding RNA (PDAC_LNC020878)
Source: RNAcentral